CAAAAAUGAAAAGUGCUUACUGCAUUUUUUCUUACACAUGUGUUUUUCUUUUUUUGAAAACUUUGCUUUGGUAGGCCUUCUAUAUGGGGCCUGCCAGAGAUUAAACUCAACCAAAUUUUAUUUAAUGUCAACCGAUUAUUUAAUAGUCAAAACUUUCAACAACGGAUCUCUUGGUUCUCGCAUCGAUGAAGAACGCAGCGAAAUGCGAUAAGUAAUAUGAAUUGCAGAUAUUCGUGAAUCAUCGAAUCUUUGAACGCACAUUGCGCCCUUUGGUAUUCCAAAGGGCAUGCCUGUUUGAGCGUCAUUUCUCCCUCAAACCCUCGGGUUUGGUGUUGAGCGAUACGCUGGGUUUGCUUGAAAGAAAGGCGGAGUAUAAACUAAUGGAUAGGUUUUUUCCACUCAUUGGUACAAACUCCAAAACUUCUUCCAAAUUCGACCUCAAAUCAGGUAGGACUACCCGCUGAACUUAAGCAUAUCAAUAAGCGGAGGAA
RNAcentral lists this ribosomal RNA (491 nucleotides) under Lodderomyces parapsilosis. RNAcentral's name for it is "eukaryotic LSU rRNA". The stretch from base 151 to 304 matches the Rfam family "5.8S ribosomal RNA". The record is from RNAcentral. Lineage: Eukaryota; Fungi; Ascomycota; Pichiomycetes; Serinales; Debaryomycetaceae.